UAAGAUGUCGUACGGAAAUGCCUGGCUC
This 28-nucleotide small RNA is filed under the name Bombyx mori (domestic silkworm). RNAcentral's name for it is "ovarian small RNA-5755". The record is from RNAcentral. Lineage: Eukaryota; Metazoa; Arthropoda; Insecta; Lepidoptera; Bombycidae.